ACAAACUGCAUGAUUUCAGUGUAACCACUGACCGAUGGAUGCUUCGUAAGUGCAAUCGCAACACACCUAUUACCUGUAAUAUACACCUGUAAAUGUAUUCUGUUGGUUUACUCUUAUUUCAAACGACGUUUCUUACCUUUGAUCAAUGAAUGAGGAGCGUUGGGAUGUGUUGCGAGCGUUGAGUUACUUAUUUUCUCUCCCGAAACGUAAAAGAGGAGAUUUUUUCAAAGUGCCGCCGCAUCUCAAACUCGCAACAGCGCCGGAAGACCGUAGUGGCCAAAAGUAUAUUACACCCGUAGUGGUUUAGCACUACCAUAGAGAAUGAAUGGGAAACGGUUUAGGCCGUUUAGCUAAACAAUCCCAGGCUCCCGUCUAUCAGAGAGGAGGGGAUGUCUCUGACAUGAAGGAAGUGCAGGGAGAGUACAUCCUGCAGUUUGGAAAAUAUAAAGGGAAAUCUUUCCGGUGGCUUCUGGAGAAUGAUGUCGGGGACACCAUGUACCAAAUCAAAGAUCUCCAGAAGCAAGAGGCUGCAGGGACCUCUGUGGAAGAAGGGCAUGGCAAGGAGAGCUUGCAUUCAUUUGUACAGUAAGCCCUCAGCUUUGCAGAGAUAAAAACUCUUCUGAGCUACGAGACCAGCAGAGUGAGUGUUGCAGCAGAAGCCUCUGAGGAUGAUCAGCUGGUUGGCUUUGGCUCACGAGCCAAGAGCACCUGGAAGGAGAUUUGAGACGGCAGAGGUGACGGCUAUGCAGACCUUAUCAUGAGGAAGAGCUGCAGUCAAGGAACACGGAUGCAUGAGCUGCAGCAGUGCCUGCGGAAGAAGUAGCAGUCUGCGCCUGCUUCCACAAACGCCCCAACUAAACAACCUCUUGGGAUGGAUGAGGAUGAAAACCUGGAGGACACAAUGCCGAGCAUCUCACCUGUAAAAGUACACAUGCAGAGCUUCACUGUGGCAGCAGCAGGGUCCACACCCAGAGGAUCUUCAGGAGCAAACAGGUUUUCAAAUGAAAGGUUUCAGAACUGGAGUACAAUUGUUUUCUCUGCAAAGCUGAGCCUGAACUUGAACUUUUAUAUAUUGUCUUGUUCUUGUUUUUGUGUGUUCUGGCCACGUUCCAGUGAUGUUCCUCUAAUAGCAUGGUGUUAUGCUGGCUGUAUGGUGGAAGAAAACAGUUGAUUUUGUAUAUAAGACAGUUUUGUUCUAGUUGUGAAUGUUUCUUUUGUUUAUAUAAAUAUAAACUGAUUGUAAAUAUAAAUAGUUUUCUGCAAAAAUAUCAACACAGUUUUCUUCUUAGAGUUCACCUGUAUGUUUCUAUAUCUGUGUGUGCUCCCCAUCAGGUAAUCAGUUUUAAUAAGUUGUGAGCGCUGCCCUGAAAGCUUACAUAUUAUUUCUAAAUCACUUCAUGUAAUGAUAACAAGUCAUCCUUUCUCUGGAGGAGUCUCACAGCUUUAUCUUCAUAAUCUUUCUGUUUUCAUUUAUAUUAUUAGAAACAUGACUGCUGUCUUUUAUCUGUGUGACUGCACAGCCUGUGUCAGACAUGACCCCCACACAAUGUCUGACGUUAUCUUUAAUACAUGCAGCACAGCUGGAGCUGCAGACAGUUUCUCACUUCUGGUGAUAAUAUUUUUGAUGUAGGUAUUGUUGCUUGCUAGCUUGAAGCUUCUCUACAAAAGUAAUUCAAUAAGGAGAGAUCACGUGGAAAAACUCAACAUGAUUUAUUGAGAUACAGAAAUAAAUGUAACUGUUUGGCAGUUAUGAGCCAUCAUAGCAGAAAGAAUCCCAGCAGUGACAGGAUGUUGCACAACCACCACCCCAGAGUCAACAUGCUGAUAGUAAUGAAGAUGAAGAUGGAGGCUGGGACAGGGCUCUGACUGACCACGGUGAGGAGGAGAAAGGAGAGGAGGCGGGCUGCAUGGCUGCAGAUCUGAAAUGCAGAAGAGCAACCGAUUUAAAGCAUGCAGAGUGGAGGCUGGCAAGAGCAUGACUGGAAUAAAGCAGUGAUGUCAGUACUGAGUUUGUGCUGGAAAAUGAAUAGACAUAAACUAACAGCCACCAGGAAGCAGACAGAUGAUUUAUCACAGACAUGCCUUGUUUAAAUUAUGAAUAAGCUUCAUGUUCUAUGUCAUCAGAAUGUAUCUGUAUUAUAGUUUUAGCUUUAGUCUUUGUAUUAAAAGUUGGA
This is a long non-coding RNA of Haplochromis burtoni (Burton's mouthbrooder), 2174 nucleotides long. RefSeq lists it as uncharacterized. The transcript has 3 exons. The record is from RefSeq and is a predicted model, not a curated record. Lineage: Eukaryota; Metazoa; Chordata; Actinopteri; Cichliformes; Cichlidae.